GAUGAACUGUGGGUAGCGGAGAAAUUCCAAUCGAACCCGGAGAUAGCUGGUUCUCUCCGAAAUAGCUUUAGGGCUAGCCUUGAAAUAGAUUACCGGAGGUAAAGCACUGAAUUGGCUAGGGGCCGAGAGGUUACUGAACCUUAUCAAACUAAGAAUGCCGGAUAAUCGUUUUUCAGGAGUCAGACAGUGGGAGAUAAGUUUCAUUGUCAAAAGGGAAACAGCCCAGACCCACAGCUAAGGUCCCCAAGUAUAGUUAAGUGGAAAAGGAUGUGGAAUUGCACAGACAACCAGGAUGUUGGCUUAGAAGCAGCCACUCAUUAAAAGAGUGCGUAAUAGCUCACUGGUCGAGUGACUCUGCGCCGAAAAUUUAACGGGGCUAAACUAUACACCGAAGCUUGGGAUACAUCUAAUGUAUGGUAGGAGAGCGUUCUGUAUGGGGUGAAGUCGUAGCGAAAGCGGCGGUGGACUGUACAGAAGUGAGAAUGCCGGAAUAAGUAGCGAGAAUUAAGUGAGAAUCUUAAUGGCCGAAAGUCUAAGGUUUUUGGAGGAAGGUUCGUCCGCUCCAAGUAAGUCGGGAGCUAAGGUCAGGCCGAAAGGCGUAGCCGAUGCACAUACGGUUGAUAUUCCGUAACCAUCUGUAAUUUAAGCAAAGGGACACUUCAAAAGGGUGUGACCCGGGCGUUGGUUGACCCGGGCGUAAGGGACCGAAAUUAGAGUAGGGAAGCACACUUGGCUGAAGGCGAGAAAAGCUUUGCGUAUAGAAACAGAUGCCCGUACCGCAAACCGACACAGGUGGACAGGAAGAGAAUUCUAAGGCCAGCGGGAGAAGGGUAGUUAAGGAACUCGGCAAAUUGACUCCGUAACUUCGGAAUAAGGAGUGCUCGAAAGAGCCGCAGAGAAUAGGCCCAGGCGACUGUUUAGCAAAAACACAGGUCUCUGCCAAAUCGAAAGAUGAAGUAUAGGGGCUGACACCUGCCCGGUGCCGGAAGGUUAAGAGGAGGAGUGAGAGCUCCGAAUUGAAGCCCCGGUAAACGGCGGCCGUAACUAUAACGGUCCUAAGGUAGCGAAAUUCCUUGUCGGGUAAGUUCCGACCCGCACGAAUGGUG
This 1106-nucleotide ribosomal RNA is filed under the name human gut metagenome. RNAcentral describes it as "bacterial LSU rRNA". It matches the Rfam family "Bacterial large subunit ribosomal RNA", at positions 803 to 2001 of the family's 2925-position model. The record is from RNAcentral.